AAAUAUACUAGAACAAGAGUGCACACGCUGAAAUGUCUCGCCUUCUAUACUAAUCAUUGAUAUUAUGUUGAUAGUCCUAAGUAAAAAGCUAAGCUUUAUAACAACUGUACCAUAAACUUAACAUUAACCAAGAUAACUAAACAAAGACCAAUGAACCUUGAAAAUGAGGUCAAGGUCAGAUGAACCAUGCCAGGCAGACAUGUACAGCUAACAAUGCUUCUAUACAACACAUAUAGUUGACCUAUUACUUAAAGUUUAAGAACAAGAGUGCACACGCUGAAAUGUCUCGCCUUCUUUACUAAUCAUUGAUAUUAUGUUGAUAGACCUAAAUAUAAAGCUUUAUUACAACUGUCACAUAAACUGAACAUUAACCAAGAAAACGAAACAUUGAUCAAUGAACCAUGAAAAUGAGGUCAAAGUCAGAUGAACCAUGCCAGGCAGAC
Molecule: long non-coding RNA, 443 nt
Filed under: Mytilus galloprovincialis (Mediterranean mussel)
Lineage: Eukaryota; Metazoa; Mollusca; Bivalvia; Mytilida; Mytilidae
Source: RNAcentral